This is a non-coding RNA of Oryzias latipes (Japanese medaka), 1479 nucleotides long. The record is from RefSeq and is a predicted model, not a curated record. NCBI's taxonomy places the organism in Eukaryota, Metazoa, Chordata, Actinopteri, Beloniformes, Adrianichthyidae.
AACAAAUCAAUAACAGAAGCAAAGAGAAUAAACAUUAAAUAAGUCCAUAAUUUCUCCACUGGCAACACAAUUUUGCUGUGGGUGUGGUGCAUGCUUCCAUCACAAUGCUAAAUGUCAAGAAUUUCACAAAUUGCUCAAUGUUUAUUUGGUCGUUUAAAAAAAGUCUUUUAAGACUUUUUUCUGGACAUUUUUGUUUUAACAACCAAUAGAAAGUAGCUCUAAAGCACACUGGUUCAACCACUUCAAACUUCUACAACCAGCUCUUCAUUACUGUUUGAAUUCUAAGGCUUCAAUUAGUCUGUCUGAUUCAUCUGAGUUUUAUACAUUUACCAAUUUUUUAAGACAAAAUUUUGCAAUGCCAGGUCAGUUUUAAUGCUGCCAUUUAGUUUUCUCACCUUCCCCUUUAAUUGGAUCACGCAGACUAUCCUCUUACAAAAUCACCAGUCCUUAAUUGAAUCCUUAUAUCCCUCUCCACCCCUUCCAACUCUUUCUUGCCCCUAGACUAUUCCUCCCUGCAGUUUAUUCUGCCUCCUCUGCAGCUCUCAGAAGCAGUGUCAGUCCCAUUCUAAAGGGAGCCUUCAGUGCAUGUUAAAGCUUUUCCUGAGCAAGAGGUCAGAGGUGUAAUGAGGACACAUGGUUUAACAUGGACACUAGAGUUGUGUGUCACUAUCACAUCGCUCCUCACAGGUGAGUUCUAAAGCUAUUAAAGAAAACUUUUUAAUUCUGUGGCGAUUUUCCUUUGUAUCCAUCUUUCUCUGCCGUAUUCAUCCAUGUCUGCAAAGCUGCACAAAGUUGUGACGUGGUCUUAACAGGUAAUUGAGCAUCGGUGUGACUGUGCUAUUUUUGGUGUCUUGGUUUCGUGCGAACCUCUCAGGGUCGGAUGGGUUAGUCUGCAACACUGCUGUGGAAUCACUGGAUUUAAGUUGCCUCCUGCGGUGGGAUUGUCCACAUGCCAGUCCCAAUAUCAGCUACAGCGUACAGACAAAGACACAGGGAGACCCCUGGCAGGAUGUGCCGUGGUGCGUUUGGAUUCUGACUCAUAGCUGUGACCUCUCUCAAGUCUUUUCAAACUUUGAGUUGUACAACAUGAUCCGUCUUGGGGUUCACCUCAGCCCCAGCUCUACUACCUGGAUGAAGCCUCUCAAGUUUGACUACAGUGACUUCACCUUCAGCUCUCCGUCUGUGUCAGUGUCCUGGAAGAAGGAGCGGCUUGCAGUAAAGGUGCAGUUUCCCUGCGCUGCCAACAGGAGGUGCUCUAUGGAAGGAUGUUGUCCUGUCACCAGACUCAUUGACCCCUGGACCACAGUCACUGUGUACAAGGAACACAAUUCCUCUGAUCAGCAGGUCCUUUCACGUCAACUUUAUUUCUCCUAUUUGUUUCCUCGUUACAACUGGAAUUCAGAAUUUCUGCUUCAAAACUGCCUUAAAAAGUUGCAAAAAGUGCUGUGCAACCCAACAAGGAUGAAUGAUUUGAACUUU